GGAAUCAACGCUGGCGGCGUGCCUCAGACAUGCAAGUCGAACGCGAAAGCCCCCUUCGGGGGGCAAGUAGAGUGGCGCACGGGUGAGUAACACGUAGGUAAUCUACCUUUGGAUGGGGAAUAACAACCGGAAACGGUUGCUAAUACCGCAUAAUGCAGCGGCACCUAAUGGUGACAGUUGUUAAAGCGGGGGAUCGAAAGACCUCGCGUCUGAAGAGGAGCCUGCGGCGGAUUAGCUAGUUGGUAGGUAACGGCCUACCAAGGCUACGAUCCGUA
This 275-nucleotide ribosomal RNA is filed under the name uncultured soil bacterium. Its description in RNAcentral is "partial 16S ribosomal RNA". It matches the Rfam family "Bacterial small subunit ribosomal RNA", at positions 27 to 285 of the family's 1533-position model. The record is from RNAcentral.